RNAcentral lists this ribosomal RNA (253 nucleotides) under uncultured bacterium. RNAcentral's name for it is "partial 16S ribosomal RNA". It matches the Rfam family "Bacterial small subunit ribosomal RNA", at positions 524 to 776 of the family's 1533-position model. The record is from RNAcentral.
UACGGAGGGUGCAAGCGUUAUCCGGAUUCACUGGGUUUAAAGGGUGCGUAGGUGGGCAAGUAAGUCAGUGGUGAAAUCUCCGGGCUUAACCCGGAAACUGCCAUUGAUACUAUUUGUCUUGAAUACUGUGGAGGUCAGCGGAAUAUGUCAUGUAGCGGUGAAAUGCUUAGAUAUGACAUAGAACACCAAUUGCGAAGGCAGCUUACUACGGAUUUAUUGACACUGAGGCACGAAAGCGUGGGGAUCAAACAGG